CACCACGCGGGCUGUGCUCCUCCUCUCGUACUCCAGCAGAUCUGUCCGCCAAGCAGGCCAUCCUCCUCCUCCCCUGUGGCAGCUCCCCUCUCCGGCCAUCCUCCUCCUCCUCCCCUACUGUCACUUCUCUGCCCGUGGCCGCCAUGGCCUUGCCCGAGCCGUCCGCCGCCAUUCCUGCUCCUCUUCCCGGCGUCCCUCCGUGCUCUCACGUCCCCCCUCCACUGCCUGCGGGAAGCAAUUCCUUAGGUCUUUAUUGUUCCUUGUCAUUUUUUGCAAACUUUCCUAACCCUAGUUAUAUGUUGUUGCAGAUCUUGCUGAAAAUUGGAUCCAUGUAGGCCGAUGUAAGGAGCUUCAACGCAACAAGACAUGCUUGAGGCAACACCUUAUUUCCCAGAUUUAGGAGUCACGCCGGCCCUACAUCCCUUCUUCUCUAACCAUGGCCAUGGCCCAUAGAGUUUGGGAUCUCGGCAGCCUACCCACUCCUCAAGGAUCCAUGGCGUGCAUGUGGUGCUACAGUCUAGACACCACCGUAUGCAGGGAGCUAUGCAAUCACCGGAAGCAGCUUCAAUGCAGUAAAAGCACAUGCCUUUGGGUCCCUGACAUGUAGGCCAGCCACCUGCUGGGCUCACAUGUCAUAGGCACAAAGGCAGGUGUCUUAAGGCACCGAAGGGCAGUCCGCAAUCACCACAGGCUCGCAGUCAGCGUAUUUUUUUAUAACCACGAGUAGUUUUUGUUAUGCAUCUCACACUUUUUUGUGAAGUCUGUACAUGAUCUAGUAUUUCUUGUUCCUGAAGGAAGUACUACUUGUUCCAGAAUUAUCAAAGGGCCUUGUUUUGGGUGAGAAAUUUGUAAAAAAUAGAUAGAACUUUGCGUAUUUAUGGAAUUGCUGAGCUAUGUUCAUCGAUCUGCACUUUCGGGUA
Triticum dicoccoides is the source of this 920-nucleotide long non-coding RNA. RefSeq lists it as uncharacterized. The transcript is spliced from 2 exons. The record is from RefSeq and is a predicted model, not a curated record. NCBI's taxonomy places the organism in Eukaryota, Viridiplantae, Streptophyta, Magnoliopsida, Poales, Poaceae.